AGUCGACGCUGAAGCUCAGCUUGCUGGGUGGAUGAGUGGCGAACGGGUGAGUAACACGUGGGUAAUCUGCCCUGUACUCUGGGAUAAGCCUGGGAAACUGGGUCUAAUACCGGAUAGGACACAUCACCGCAUGGUGGUGUGUGGAAAGUUCCGGCGGUACAGGUUGAGCCCGCGGCCUAUCAGCUUGUUGGUGGGGUGAUGGCCUACCAAGGCGACGACGGGUAGCCGGCCUGAGAGGGUGACCGGCCACACUGGGACUGAGACACGGCCCAGACUCCUACGGGAGGCAGCAGUGGGGAAUAUUGCACAAUGGGCGCAAGCCUGAUGCAGCGACGCCGCGUGGGGGAUGACGGCCUUCGGGUUGUAAACCCCUUUCGCCCGGGACGAAGCGAAAGUGACGGUACCGGGAGAAGAAGCACCGGCCAACUACGUGCCAGCAGCCGCGGUAAUACGUAGGGUGCAAGCGUUGUCCGGAAUUAUUGGGCGUAAAGAGCUCGUAGGCGGUGUGUCACGUCUGCCGUGAAAACCUGCGGCUUAACCGUGGGCGUGCGGUGGAUACGGGCAUCACUUGAGUUCGGUAGGGGAGACUGGAAUUCCUGGUGUAGCGGUGGAAUGCGCAGAUAUCAGGAGGAACACCGGUGGCGAAGGCGGGUCUCUGGGCCGAAACUGACGCUGAGGAGCGAAAGCGUGGGGAGCGAACAGGAUUAGAUACCCUGGUAGUCCACGCCGUAAACGUUGGGCGCUAGGUGUGGGGCGCUGUUCACGUGUCCCGUGCCGUAGCUAACGCAUUAAGCGCCCCGCCUGGGGAGUACGGGCCGCAAGGCUAAAACUCAAGGAAUUGACGGGGGCCCGCACAAGCGGCGGAGCAUGUGGAUUAAUUCGAUGCAACGCGAAG
This 895-nucleotide ribosomal RNA is filed under the name Saccharomonospora xinjiangensis. RNAcentral describes it as "bacterial SSU rRNA". It matches the Rfam family "Bacterial small subunit ribosomal RNA", at positions 60 to 966 of the family's 1533-position model. The record is from RNAcentral. Lineage: Bacteria; Bacillati; Actinomycetota; Actinomycetes; Pseudonocardiales; Pseudonocardiaceae.